Molecule: microRNA precursor, 77 nt
Filed under: Caenorhabditis japonica
Lineage: Eukaryota; Metazoa; Nematoda; Chromadorea; Rhabditida; Rhabditidae
Description: mir-87 microRNA precursor family
Rfam family: mir-87 microRNA precursor family
Source: Rfam by way of RNAcentral
UUCCGGCCGCCUGACACUUUCGUCUCAACCUCGCUUCAGAUGGCCGUAGGUGAGCAAAGUUUCAGGUGUGCCGGAAC